This 472-nucleotide ribosomal RNA is filed under the name Streptococcus mitis. RNAcentral describes it as "bacterial SSU rRNA". It matches the Rfam family "Bacterial small subunit ribosomal RNA", at positions 28 to 483 of the family's 1533-position model. The record is from RNAcentral. Lineage: Bacteria; Bacillati; Bacillota; Bacilli; Lactobacillales; Streptococcaceae.
GACGAACGCGGCGGCGUGCCUAAUACAUGCAAGUAGAACGCUGAAGGAGGAGCUUGCUUCUCUGGAUGAGUUGCGAACGGGUGAGUAACGCGUAGGUAACCUGCCUGGUAGCGGGGGAUAACUAUUGGAAACGAUAGCUAAUACCGCAUAAGAGUAGAUGUUGCAUGACAUUUGCUUAAAAGGUGCAAUUGCAUCACUACCAGAUGGACCUGCGUUGUAUUAGCUAGUUGGUGGGGUAACGGCUCACCAAGGCGACGAUACAUAGCCGACCUGAGAGGGUGAUCGGCCACACUGGGACUGAGACACGGCCCAGACUCCUACGGGAGGCAGCAGUAGGGAAUCUUCGGCAAUGGACGGAAGUCUGACCGAGCAACGCCGCGUGAGUGAAGAAGGUUUUCGGAUCGUAAAGCUCUGUUGUAAGAGAAGAACGAGUGUGAGAAGUGGAAAGUUCCACACUGUGACGGUAUCUACC